This 251-nucleotide ribosomal RNA is filed under the name uncultured bacterium. RNAcentral describes it as "partial 16S ribosomal RNA". It matches the Rfam family "Bacterial small subunit ribosomal RNA", at positions 524 to 776 of the family's 1533-position model. The record is from RNAcentral.
UACGUAGGGCGCAAGCGUUGUCCGGAAUUAUUGGGCGUAAAGAGCUCGUAGGCGGCCUGUUACGUCUGCUGUGAAAUCCCGGGGCUUAACCCCGGGCGUGCAGUGGAUACGGGCAGGCUGGAGGCAGGCAGGGGAGAACGGAAUUCCCGGUGUAGCGGUGAAAUGCGCAGAUAUCGGGGAGCACGCGGUGCGAAGGCGGUUCUCUGGGCCUGUACUGACGCUGAGGAGCGAAAGCGUGGGGAGCGAACAGG